UUCUCAUCUAUGAAAUAAGAUCAUUAGACCAAAUGACCUCUAAGGUCCUUUCAGGUCCUAAAUAAAGAAUAUUUUGCCCUAUUUUCAGUCUGAGUCAGUAUAAUUUUCUUUUUGUCUCAUUCAAGGACUUCAAAAUUUCAAUGCACAGGACCUACCUAUAAGACUGUCUACUAUAUAAAGGAUUCCUCCUUAAGAGAUGAAGUGGCUCAGGUGAGCUCCUUCAAGGAUAUCUUAAAAAUUAAGCAGCAAGCUCCUGUUUAUAGAUGAUACUGUACCCUUUGUGUUAAGCCCCAAGGGUAGGACAACACCUCAUCACUAAGAUCUACAACCAUUCAGAAGUGUUGAGUCAACAAUCUAGACAGGAAAAUCCAAAUGAAUGAAAAAUGUCCAUAAAUAAGAGUUGACAUUUAUCCCAUACUUAAAGGCUUGCAGACCAAUUUUUCUAUGUAUUAUCUCAACUGAUCAUGACAACAAGCCCUAUGAAGUAAGUGGUUUGAGUAAGUCAUGCUCCAGAAUGAAGUUUCUGUUUCCUCCUAAUUAUAUGGAGGGAAUUAAAUGUGAGUUUCUUGCAUUUUUAGACAUAGUCAAUGUGGGGAUUAGCUUUUUUUUAAACUAUGGAUAUUUGUUCAAUGUUUUUUUUUUUUCAAUUUGAUGAAUAUUUUGAAGAAAUUGAUGGGAUUCUGUGAUAAGACUGGAAAAAAGAGUCAUCAAAGCACUUUUUUCAAUGCACAGAGAGAUCAAAUGGAAGUCCCAGAAAGAUACACAGACAAUCAACAUAGCUUUGGAAGUAUCACAUUGGCUUAAUUGUAUGCUUAAGAGGGAAAACAGGUUGCCUAUAAUAAAAAUUCAUGAUUUCAUGCGAAA
Molecule: long non-coding RNA, 864 nt
Organism: Monodelphis domestica (gray short-tailed opossum)
Lineage: Eukaryota; Metazoa; Chordata; Mammalia; Didelphimorphia; Didelphidae
Source: RefSeq, a predicted model, not a curated record